UUGAAAAUUCCAUCCGAUUCUUCUAGUUUUGUCUUUAAGCAUAAAAACUCAAGAUUGGAACAAUCCAAAUCAUUUGGAAAUUUCACACACCAUAGGUAUGUUACUGAAUUUUGUUCGACAAUCACAUCUUUUUUCUCUUCGCACUUGAUGAUUAUUUUCUCAUCCUUUGCUAUCAAGUGGGCCACAUCGCGAACUAUGUCAUGCAUUUUGACACCUCCAUUCUUUUCAUCCAACAAUAAACAAGAACUAACAAGCUUAAUUUUGGUUGCAAUCACUUCACUCUUUGCCUCCACAUAUGAGUGUGCUUCUCCAACUACACCUAACCCUAUUGCACAUCUUGUUAAAAUUUCAACUGGAAUUUCAAAAUCUUCAGGGAACACAGAACACAACAAAAAAAGUGAUUUAGCUUCUUCAGUAUCCAAAUUAUCAUAGCUCAACUGCAAGCACUUGUAGGGAUCAGGCAAACCUCCUUCAAUAUGUAUUGGCUUCGAACUACUCAAUUUAUUCAAUGCAACACUCCAUAUCGUCUCGACUUUUCCCUUCAAACUACUAGCAACAGCUGCAAUGGCAACUGGCAAUCCUUUACAUUCAUUAGAAAUUAAUCUUCCCAUAUGCUUUAUGGUAUCAGGGGUGCCUUUAGAUAUAAGUGCUUUAUUUUGGAAAAGAGUCCAGGCUUCUUCAUCUGUUAAAAUUGGCAAGUAAAUCUUUCUUUGACAAUCCAUUGAAGUACAAACAUCUUCGGAUCUAGUGGUAAUGAGAAUCUUGAAGCCUUUAUGGUGUUCAGAGGAGGGAAUCCCAAUGGCACCAAAGUCAAGCUUCUCCCACACAUCAUCUAGAAUCACAAGAAUUUUUUUCUCCUGAGUUAAUCUCAAGCACAAUUGUUGGGCUCUCUCCAUUACUUUAGUUUCUGGAGAAAAUGUAUAUUGCAGUGAACUUGCAAUAUUUUCUUGGAUCCUUCGAACUUCCACUAUACUUGAAAUAGGCACAAAAAGAACUUUGUCAAAAAGAUGUUCCGCUUCUACUGAUUUCCUAACUUCCAUUGCUAAUGUGGUUUUACCACAACCCCCCAUCCCGUACAAUCCAAUCAUGGAAACAUCUUUAUUUUUCACUGCUUCCAGUAGUUGCUCAUAUGCAGAUUGUCUACUUUCAAAGUUCAUGCAUUUUUCUAAGAGAAUAUCAAGGGUUCCUGAAGGAAGUGUAGCAAUGCGCUCAAAUGGCACAUAUUUUCUACCUUCUUCAAUGAACUUUUCAAGGUACACAAUUUUAUUUGCUAACUUUUUUCCUACCCGAUAUCGCCAAAUCCAAUUUGGACAGUGACCAAAGCAACAUAUUUUUUUGGUUUUUGCCUCUUUCAACAACUUAUUCACAUUGUCUACGUCACUGAUAGCAUCUUGCAACCACUUUUCAACCACUUCACUAGUCUUUCUCAUUUGUCUCUCGGCAUUUACAAUAAAUUUUUGGACACUAUCUCUUGUUACAAUCAAAACACCCUCUUCUUCUUCAAGCUUUUUAAUGAAAUUGUUAAAGUAGUAAGGAUAACGCAAUUGAUUUAAUGCUGCACACACUAAAUCUCUUGAAACAGAAGAUGCAAAACCCAAGAGACACUCCAUCAAUCUAUUCCACCAAAUACAACUUUCUUUAACCUGAAAAAAUAGAAAAUGAACACGCUCUAUAUAAUUUUUAUAAUUAUAUUUAGAUAUAUUAGAGAAAAACUUAUUUAAGAUCAUUUCUUACAUCUUCUAGUACAUCAUUUUUAUUGUGAAAUUACAUAAAAAAAGGUUAUGUGUUAUUUUUUGAAUUAGAUUUAAUGUUUUUAUCUUAAAUAGCCAAUUAUUGGAUACACAAUAAAAAUAUAAAAAAAAUCUAAUAACUUGAAUGAUUAGUUUUAAAAGUUUAUGUGUAAUAAGAUUUUUUAAAUGUCCUUUUCAUCACUUACUACAAGAAAAUCAUGAAAUAGAAAUUAAUUUUUAGUGACAAAAAUAAUUAGUUGUUAUAGUGACUAAAUUAGAAACCAUUUUAUAUACUAAUUUUUUUUUGUUUCUAAAUAGUUUCUAUUAUUGUUAAAUGGUUUUUAAAUUGGUAACUAAUUAACAACGAAGGUUUUUGCUACCAAAUUUAUAAACUAAAUAAUUGGUAGUUAAAACCUUAGUUGCUAAUUAGAUACAAAUUUAGAAACCAUUUAAGAAAAAUAGAAACUAAUUUAGAAAUCAAUUUUUUUUAAUUUCUAAAAUGAUCUCAAAUUUAGUUACUAUAGAAUCUAAUUAUUUUUUUUUCUAAAAUUGGUUUCUAUUUCAUGUCUUUUCUGGUAAUGACUUCGAUAAAUUUCUCAAACAUAUUUAUUUUUAAAUAAUGUUUUAAAAAAUUAUUACCCUGCUAAAAAAAAUUAUAUUCAAACAUGUGGUUAAAUGACACCCUUAGAUCAAAAGAUUUGUUAAUUAGAAAAAAAAAAACCAAGUGAACCAGUAAAAAAUGUACUUAACCAAAGCUUGAACUAUAAUAAGCAUUAAAUAUAAAAUUAAUAUUAUAUAUUUUUUUGUAAAUUUAAUUUUAUUAAUAUUUAUUUAAAUUUAUAUAAGCUCUUUUAGAUUAUAGCACUUUGAGAUAAAAUUUGCAAAUAAGAAAAGAACAAAAUUAGGUAAUAAUUCCUAAAAUUGUUAUGUUAUAUAGGGUUAUUAUAGGCCGUUGUACAGUACCAUACUUUCAAGUGUUCAACGCUUGUUACUUAUGUUGAUGAAUUAUAUUAAUUCAUUACGAUGAAAUGUAUUAAUUCAUCAUCCUCAUUUUCGCCAUUUAAGCAAUUAAAAUGGAGUUUAUAAUAUUAUACUGUGUAAAAAAUUCCAUUAAUAUAAGUGUACAAUUAUUUAGUUUAGUUUAAAAUUAUUUAAAUUUUGAAUUAGAAUAGUAAUAUUAUUAUUUUUAUUAAUAUUAUUAACAAUAUAUUGAUGGAGAAACAUGAACCUACCAUGUUUAACAUAUAUUGAAUAACUACUAUACCUUAUCAUAUUCUUAAUAUUAAUAAUAAUAAUAAUAAUAAUAAUAUAAUAAUAAUAAUAAUAAUAGUGAUAAUAAUAAUAAUAUUAAUAAUAAAAAUAAUAAUAUCCACAUACAAUUUUUUUCCGUAUUAGUGAUUGGAGUAUUUACGUACAAGAAAUUUUCCGUAUGUGAUAAAUAUGAGCAUUUACAUACAUAAUUUUUUUCAUAUGUAAUGAUUAACGAAAAGUUUUCUUGGUAAUUAUUAAGAAUAUUUAUAUAUGAAAUUUUUUCAUAUGUAAUGAUUAUACGCAUUAAUAUUAUUAAUAAUUUUAUUAUUAUUUUACUAAUGCUACUAUUAUUAUUAUUGUCAUUUUUAAUAAUAAUAAUGAUAAUACUAUUAAUAAUCAUAAUAAUAAUAAUUUUUAUUAUUAAUAUCGUUAUUCAUAUUAAUAAUAAUAUUAUUAUUACUAUUAAUAUUAUCAUCAUAAUAUAUAAGUGAGUGCAAACUUCACUCCAUUGAGCCGGUUUUAUGGGAUUGAGUUAAGCUUAAAGUUCACUUCGUAAUAAGUUGUAUGGUUUAGAAGAGUUUGAUUCUUCCAUGUCAAAUAUACAUGAAAUUGUUUUGGAAAAAAGAAUGUGAUGUCACUAGUACAUUUGAUUUUGAUAAUUCAAAUACAAAAUGUUAUGUUUCAAAUAACUCGUUGAUCAACAUCAACCUCGGCUCAGCCAAAUUAUUAAGAAGUUAAUCAAACUCAACCCCAACACGAUGGGAUUAUUAAAAAUUUUAUCAGCAUUGACCCUAAUUCGGUGGAAUUAUUAAAAGUUGAUAACCAUUGAUCCCGAUCUGGGGAUUAUGUUUUGUUUAAAAACUUUUGGAAUGUUGAAUUGAAAUGAGUGAAAGAUGAUGUUCAAGUAAAUUUUGGAUUGUACUGGUCAUUUAUGUGUUUGAGAGUUGUACUUGUUAAACUGGUUUUGGAUAAAACUUUGAAAAUAUGUUUCUGGGACAUGAGGUUGAUUUUAUGAUAUUUUUGCUCAAGCAAGCCAAUCCUCACUCAAGCAAAAAUAGCACUGCAUAUCAAUCUUGCAUUUAACCCUAUUUUCACUCAUGUUAUAAUAGAGAUCCCCUUACUUCACUGAUGAUCUAAGACACAUAGACUAAGAUAUCAAGGGUUGAGAAUCUGAUGGGAAAGUUGUUGCACACUGUGACAUAUGUGGAUGCACAACUUGAGUGGUAUUUAAGUUAAUAUGAGUCGUACGGAAGGUGUUAGUCGAUAUUCUACUUGUUAAAUACCCUUGAUUGUAUAGAUCCAUGUGUUGUCUUGUUGUACUUUGAUAUUUGAAUGAGAUUGAAUGGUUGUGAUAUAUUGAUUAAAAUGUCUUCUUUUAUACUUUUUUAUGUUGAACUAACAGUGAUUGUAUUAAGUACAAAAGCAUAUAUAAAGACAUACUCAGGAGCAACAUCAUAACAAUAAAAACUUUAUUUUAUCUUUUCUUUUGUAAAUAUUUAUAUAUAUAUAUAUGUACGAAUUUGUAUGUAUUUUAGUUGUAUUUUAAAAUAUUUUAUGUUUUAUACAUAUUCUGUGUUAGAUUUUUAGUACAGUGGAUAGUUCUUUUUACAAUAUUAUAUUAACUCUAAAAUCAUAAUCCCCUAAUGAAAAACACAAAAGAUCAUAUAUUAUAAUACAUAUAUGUAGUAUUAAGUUUAUAUAGACGGUCCUACCAUCUACAUUGAGUUGAGUUCUUGGUACUUUAUAUAGACUAGAGUUAAUUUAAGUGUAAUUUGUGAGAAUAUUAAGGAGUAUGAUUGUAUUUUACGAACCCGUUCAUUAUUCACAACAUCAUAAUUGGAUGUGAUUUUUAAUAAUUGAUAAUGGAAAAUGAAAUAUGGAUCAUGAAUGUUUCUGGCUUCUGCAUUUUUAUUAAAUAAAAAAGGGAAGAGAUACGUACUUGUUCAUCGUUCAAAUCUAACUAAUUUGGAAGUGGAAAAAAAGAGAAAAGAUAGGUAAGGUUUUUACGUUACCUGCUUUAACUAAGAUGCAGAGAGAGAUGAGAAAAAGAAGUGAUGAUCCAUGACUUCAAUACAAGACACGCUGAAACGUUAAGUUACUGCACAAACAUAAACACAAACACAUGAUCUACAGCUUCAAUUGAAAAGGAAUCGAUUAGAAUUUCAGACCGAUUCAUACCUCCACACAGAAGAAUGCACUCCAUUGAUUGAAUCGAAGAGAGAGUAUUAGAAACAAUCCUCACACUUACUGCAACAAAUAUCUCAGAGAAAGAAACAAGUGCUGAUCCAUGACUUCAAUGCAAGAAACACUGAAGCAUUAUGUUACUGCACAAACAUAACAAACAUAAACACAAACACAUGAUCUGCACCUUCAAUCGAAAAGGAAUCGAUUAGAAAUUGAAAUCAAAGCAGAAGUUAACUUCACACACAGUGAUUCAUACCUCCGCAGAGAUGAAUGCACUCCAUCGAUUGAAUCGAGGAGAGAGCAUAAGAGUUAAGAAUGAAAGGACAUUUGUGAAGAAUGGCGCAGCAACACAUUUCUUGUUAUUCAAUUUGAGAAUGAAAAGCAGAGUUGUGAAGAUUCGUGCACCAAUACCUUUCUUCUUAUUCAGUUUAGGAAUGAAAGCACAGUUGCGAAUUACCUUUCUUGUUAUUCACUUUAAGAAUGAAAGCACACUUCUGAAUAUUUAACUUUUAUACCAAGGUAUUACAAAAUGACAAUGGGUACUCAAUGAAGGAAGGGAUCAUAAAAAAAAUGGUUUCUGUAAUUUUGAAGAAACUGGAGAUGCAUUUGAACAUUAUAAGUCACAUAAAAGUUUUUUUUUUUUUCAUAUAACACUUGUAUUGUUUUGUCUCAACAAGAGCAACGUCUUACAGAACAAUAAAUAAGAUAGCAAACAUACAACAAAAUAGAACAAUCAACUUUUAGAAAGUCAAUUGAAACUAUUUGAUGGUCAAUUGAAACUAUUUGAUGGCGUGAAAAAAUUGAAGCAUACACUACAGAAAAUAAAAAAGACAGAACAAUAUUAUGUAGUUGCAAGUCUUCCUUUUGAGUGAUAAACACUUUGGUCCUUUAUAGCAAUGAACAAUGAAAAUUUUCAUGAGGGAUUUCUAGCAGUCAUGCGAUUGUACUCAUAUUGACUACACAGAACUGACCAUUUAUAAGUCACCUCAAACAAUUUUUGUUGAACUUUUCUUUGAUCUUCAACCAUUUGAGACCCGUCUUUCCUCACAUUUUCAAGCUCCAUUUUGUACCCAAUAGUUUCCACAAGGCAUUUAUUUUUUUCCUCCUCCAGAUAUGAUAAGGCAUCCUCACAAACUUUUAUUUCUUCCUUCAACCUAAUGAUUUGUUCCUUCAAAACUACUUCCUUCAGUUGAGCUUCAUCAUAGAAAUUCUUUGCCUCGGAAAUUUUGGAACCAAAAGUAAUGGCCACCUCAUUCCCACGAGCUUCAUGUUCUGCCAACUUUUCAGUGGUAGCAAAGCCUUGCUUAAAGGUGCAUACAAUGCUUGGGAACUCUUGUUGCAUAAUGCCAAUAAUAUCUUUGAGUCCAUCUGACAGAGUUACAUCUUUAAAAGGAAGGUUGGACAGGAAAUUAAGAGCAGACAAAAGACUAAUGAUAUUAGUCUUCGAGCUAACUAUGUCCUUCAGAGACAUCUUUAGAUACUUUUCCAACUCAACAAGGGUCUUUCCAACUAGGUUGUCUUCACCUUCUUUCCCCACAACAACUGGUGCAAAUAAACUCAUGAUAUCAUUGGCCCCAAAGUCUUGAAUAAUUUUAGGUUGGCCUUCACUUUCUUUAGCAGUGCGUGUCUCAGUUUGGCUGCUCCAAAUUUCACUCUUGGAGGAAUAAGAAGAAAAUAUAACAGAAAAGACGUUAGCAUCAAGCCACAACAGUUGCAAAGCAUUGAGUUCCUUAAACCAUUUUUUAUCAAAGCAUAUUUGUGAGAGUGAUAGUAACAAAUUCAUUAAAUUUAAAUUCCAACUUGAAAUUUAGUACUUUUUGUUUUUUAAUUCCACUCCUAUGGCAAAUGAUAAAUCAAAAUGGUAACAUCAUUUUUAUGAUGAUCAAAUAUGUUGGAAUUGUGAUUUGCAAAAUAAACUUCCAUGUGGAUGUGAUUUAGUUUGGAAAGUAAAUAUUUGGUCCAACUGUGAGCUAGUGUAUUCGGAAUGAAUUGAAGAAGCUGUCAUACUGGUGUUCUUUUUUAUGGUUUCCUCUACAACUUCUCGCUCAAUACUCUGCAUACUCUGACAGAGAAAAUUCACACAACCAACAUAGAGAUACAACUUCAAAUUCACAAAAAGUGAUAGAUUUUCUCUGGGCAUUAACAAAGUCAUUUAAGACUUUUAAUUUCAUUCAUUUUUUACAUUACAUAGUCAAGAAGUUAAAUGAUCAUACCUCUUAGGAUUCUCAUUCAUUUGUCUCUCCGCAAUCUCCUUUCUCAACUUAGGAUCCCUCGUCAAAACAUGUUGACGCAUUUCAUCUACCCAUGAACUCUCAAAUCCAAUCUCAAGAGCUUCUUCGCAUAGUUUAUGGAACUCUUUUUCUCUUUGAGGAAUAACAUCGUCAACACUUUCUUUCUGAACGAACAACAACAUAUCUGCCAACAUUUUCAACCUCCAAGCUUGAAAGCGCUCACUAAACUUCUCGCUAACAUUCCAAAGAUGAGGAUAUGUUGUAAUUGCCUCCACCAGAAGAGCAAUUUGUGCAUCAUCCAGAUCAACAAAAUGUUUAUAUGUUCCCAAUCUUGUACGGAUAUCUGCAGAAGCUAUAAAAAGUUUGAAAGAGUGAUAUGAAAAUAUAGGAUUGAAACAAGAAAAUAAGAAAUAAAAAACCUGGAGAGAUGUCAAUAUUGUUGUUAGAAACAAUAUGUAUCUCCUCUUGUUUUUCCAAUAGGUUCAAACCUUCUUCUACUUUGAUUUCUUGGCUUGACAUGAUUCUUGCAUUCCCUUGAUCAUUCAUCUUAUCAUCUUGUUCAACAACCUUGGAAUCUUGUGCAUGUAUGUCCACGUCACCAAACUCAAUGUGAGUUGCCACACCACCUCCAAUGCUAAUGUCUUCAACACCAGUUGACAAAGGUUUUGUCUUAUCACCCUCUGUUGAAGGCCCCUCACGACCUCCAUUAAUGUCUUCACCAAUAGUUAACAAAGGUUUUGUCUCACCCUCUACUGAAGGCUCCUCUUCAAUGCUCUCAUUUCCAAUGUUUCCAAUCUCCUAUCACAAAUUGAUAAAAUACUAUUGAGUGAGAGUUUAUAAAGUUUGAAAGGACCACUAUUUUUAAUGUACAUCAUGUGGUGGUAUGAGAGUAGUUUGAUAAUUUUUAAUGGUUUUGUUACUAUUACUUCUUCAAGUGCAUGUUUGUCUUAAUAUCACCAAAUUCAUUUUAGGUUUAGUAAUUAUUACACCUAUAUGCUAAGGUAUUUUAUGCAGAGAAUACACUUUACAAUGCUCAAGCUAAGUUUUGUAAGGUAACUCUCAUUGUGACUAUACUUAUUUCUUCUUCAUAUUUAGUUUUUAAUUUCAAGUUCAUUCCUAAUUAGUUGACAUAUGAUGAUAUUAUCUAAUGCAGUUCCUUCUUCGACACCACUCAAUAUUCUGCAAUCUGCAUAAGUCCAGAAGAUGUGAAAUUUGGUAUCUGCAUAAUGUAAACCGAACACUUAAAAAAAAUUAAAAUAAAAAUCAAUUUUAAAAACAAAAAUUAAUUGGUAACUAUAUUAACUAGAUUUGAUAUUAUCUUAAAAACUAAAAAUUAGUAGUAUUUAAAGUUUUUUAUAUUAUUAAUAAAAUUUGUAAAUUAGUUUUUAUAUUGGUAUAUAAUUAGCUAAAAUAUUGGUAACUAAUUAGAUAUCAAUAUAAAAACUAAUUUAUAAAUUUAAUAAUAAUAUAAUCAAUUUUAGAUACUAAUAAUUUUUUUAGUCUCUAAAAUAAUAUAUAAUUUAAUUAAUAUAGUAAUUAAUUAUUUUUGUCUCUAAAAUUAAUUUUUAUUUAAUAAUUUUCUUAGUGAGAAAUAAUGAUUGUCUCUCAAAACAUAGAGCAUUAUUUUAAGAAAUUUUAAUUUAAUUCUUUAAAUUUCAAUGUGUUACAUAUCUUUUUAAAACUUUUCUCAAUUUUUAUUUUAAUACUAAUAUCUUACAAAAUUCACACUCUUAUUCACACUACAGGUAAAUUAAUAAAUACUAGUUUUAAAGACAAAAAAUAAUUAAUUACUAUAACUAUAUUAAAAAUAUUAUUAGUAUUAAAAAUAAUUUUUAUUAAUAUUAAUAAAAUUUAUAAACUAGUUUUUAAAUAUCAAAUUAUAAACUAGUUUAUAAAUUUGAUUAACAAUAAAAAAAUUACUUUAAAUAUCAAUAAUUUUUUUAAUUUCUAAAAUAAUAUCUAAUUUAGUCAAUAUAAUAAUUAAUUAUUUUUUAUUUUAAAAUUAAUAUUUUGUUAAUGAUUUUCUUGUAGUAUAUUUUAUUUUAUUUCUAAAAAAAAAUAUUUUUAAGAUAAAAAAAUAAUUUUUUACUUUUAUGAUUCAGGUACUUAUUUAAAAUCUCAAAUCUUAUUUUUCUAUCACGUAAGUUUAAAUUAAAAAAAUCCUAAUAAUGAGAGAAAAAGGUUAUUAAACUUUUUUUUAAUUGUAUUUAGAUUCAUAGAUUGGUUGGUUCUGACCUGUGUUGAAGUGAACUCACUGCUACAACUAAUACUAAAAUCUUCAUCUAAACUUCUCAUCAAGUGAUUUAUCUCCCAUAACCAAAGUCCAGUCCUUUUGAAAUCUGUAACGAAAAAUACAUAAAAAAGAAACGCAACCUCAGCUUUUCAUGAUGAAUAAUUAUAUUAUUACAACUAAAUAUAACAAAUGAUUUAAAAAGUUUCAUCAUAGGAAUUUUUUUUAUCACCCAUCAAAAUAAAGGAUCGAUCGUUUUCUUUAACAGUUCUUCCUAACUACAAUUACUAGAGCUUAAAAUUAAAAAAAAAAUCAGCAAAUAAUAAUUUACUGUGUUUAUUUUAAAAAAUUUAGUAAAUACUCGGUUGGAAAUUUGAAACAGUCUUAUCUGAAUGAAAUAGUUAAUUUGUAAGGAAAUAUAGUAUUUACCAUGAUAAGGAAAAGUUUUCUUGAGUUUCUCCAGAGUAGUUGUUGGAGUCAAAGAUAGUUUUGGACAUUCGUAGACAACACAAUUCUUUAAAUGGGACAAUUCAAACUCUUGGUUGAGAUUUGAAAGAUGCGUAAAUAUUAAAACUUUGAGUCUUGGAAGUUCAAUUUUUGUUUUUCCUAUCUCAUCAUCACCUUUUCCUUGUCCACGUCUAACAAACUCUUCUAGUUUAGAGGCUCCACUUAUGAUUAAAAGAUAAAGAUUAGGAAAGUCAUUAGAUGCAGAUCCAGAGAUAAAUCUUUUGAGUUUGUGGCAAUGUCCAACAUACAAUGCUUCUUGUUUUGGGAAGAAUGCCUGAGGAGAAAGAAGACUAGACAAUUUGUUAUCCUCCACAUCCUCUUCAAUGAUUACUCUUAAUUCUUUGCAUUUUCUUAUCUUCACAAUACUCAACAUUGGUAGGCAUCUUAAAUCAUACUUUGAAAAGAUUACUUCCAAUUUUGCACAUCCAAUAAUUUCUAAUUUUUGAAGAUUUGAGAAGAUAAGAGAAUUGUUUGGAGCUCCUUGUUCACAUCCAACAAUCUUCUUCAAUUUCAUGCAUUCUUUUAUUAUUAGCUCUUUCAACUCUGGUAAGCUUCUUAAAACAGAGGGAGGAAAUAUUACUUUCAAUUUUGCACAUCCUAUUAUUUUUAAUGUAGUAAGAUGUUGGAGAUUAACUGAAAUCUUGGAAGCCACCCAAAUAUAAGUCAUUUGAGGUAUAUUUUCCAAUUUCAAACGCUCUAACCUUAAGCUCACUUGUUGCCCAAUCAUUCCAUCUCCAUUAAGACAAAAAAUACCUUCUACUUCAGAAUUGGUUACAGAUAUAUUUUGCAAAGUGAGAAGAGGGUUCUGAACCCCUUUUGGAUCCUACAGGACAUUCAUAGGAAAUGAAAAAACUCCAAAAAGAAAACAAAAAAGGAACAAAUAACUAAUAAUCAUAAAAAAAAGACAAGACUACCUUCUUACUUGCGUUGAUAGGUUCUCUUGAAUCUGCAGGAGCCGUCAAGCAAUUAAUAGAAUUAUAAAACGGAUAGGCACAUUUAUAACAAGUAAACUCCUUCAAAGAUGGCCACGUCACGGUGAGAUUGUUGGUAGCACAAAUGCUAACAAAAUUUGGUAGAUUAUCAAGAGAGAGUAUUUCCAAUGCUGAGAAAUGAAUAUGCAUCUCCUCACAAUCCUUAUUAGCUGCGAAAUAUUGGCCAAACAUAUAUGUCAAUUGGCCACAAUCACGCACUGAGAGGUCUCUUAAGUUUGGGAAGAUUGCAUUCAAAUUCUCUUUGCCAUAUUCAUCCUCAGUGUCUAUAAUGUGCUCAAGUCCGUGACAUUGCUCGAUUCUCAAGAUUUCCAACAUCAGUAAUGAAGCAAUGGACAAUUUAAAAAUGUACUUUACCUUAUCAAAGCCAUUCAUGUUAAUCUCUCUUAUGUUAUGCAUAAUAAUCAAGGUCAAACCAUGUGGUGGUUUUGAAAUAUAUUGAACACUUUCAACUGGGAAAAUAGAAUCUGAGUUCGAUAUCUGCAAUACAUACACCAAGUUACUUGUUAAACCAAACUAAUUAGUGUCUUAACUUUAAUUAUUAAUGUAUUUCAUUUCUAACAAAUAAUUGUUUAUGAAAAUAAAUUAUUUUUGUUUAGCACAACAAGAAAAAGUUGAAAAGAGAAUAAUUUCACAAAAGUAAUCUAUUCCAAAUAAUCUAUGCCAAUACUUAGAUAUUAAAAAAUUCAUGUUGCACCUUCGGUAUAGUGCUUGUAAGACCAACUUUUAUUUUUAGCACAAAAUGAUCGUGCAAUUCAAAUGUUUUGAGUAAUUUUUCUAAAUACACGAAGAGAGAGACAAAGUAAGUGAUGAUAAUCAUACCUUGAUUGCAAUAUAAUCCUCUUGUCUAGCUUUUGAAGAAUCUGCUGAACAAUUUAUAGUGAAAAACUCAACACAUCUUCCAGUAGUCAAUGAUAGUUUUCCUAAAGAUGGACAUCUUACAUGAUAAUUGCCUAGAAGAGAGUUAUCCAUGAUACGAACAAGUACGAGUAUUUCUAAAGCAGGAAGCUCAAUUUGAUUAUUAUUUUGUUGUUGACUUGAAAGAUCUUUCAAAUUAGAAGCCUCUUUAUUUCCUAUUUCCAUGCCUCCAACAAAAGAGAUAGGGAACAUACAUUGCAAUAAGUCACAUUCACUGAUAUUUAGCGUUUUCAAACUUUGGAAGAUUGAAAUAUCACUCUGAAAGUCAUGGUCAUCCUGGACAAUGUUUUCCUUCUGUUGAUUGACCCUUUCAUGAGUUACUAUAUGUUUCAAACUAUUGCACCUUUUUAUGAUCAACACUUCCAAAAAAGUCAAGGUCUUAGCUAUAGAUGCUGUAAAAAUUGAGCCUAACUUCGGACAAUCGAUUAUCGUAAGGCUUGCAAGGCUUGAUAAAGUUCCUGAAAAGCAAUUAUAAAUAAGAAAAAUAUCGCUCAACAUAUUAGAGUUCGUUAUAUAUAUGUUAUGUGUGCAAGUUACAUUCUAAUUUUGAAGACAUUGGUUUCUAGGGACGGAACUGCAAUCCUAAGCAUCAAACGAUUCGUUAAUAAUGAUGAAAAGAAUCAUACAAAACAAAUUUUUUUAAAAUAAUUCGAAAUUAUCUAAAAAGUUUAAAAUGCAAAUAUAAUUGUCUUUAAUUUUGAUUGGAGACAAAUUUUGCUCAUAGUGCAUUAAGAAGUAGUAGGUUUAAGUAAAACUAGAUUAGUAAUGUCUUGAGUUUGAACCACGUGAAUGAAAAAUAACAGAUUAGCAGUUUUCAUCUAACUUGUAAAUAACUUCAACUAAGCAAUAACAUGUAGACUUCUUAAUAUGUACCUGGGCUAUGGUUCAAAAUUGUUGUUGAUGGAGUUGAAGUGCUAUACAAAUGUGGAUGCUUACCUUCCUCAACGAUUUCAGCAAGUUCUUCUUUUUUAUCCUGGUAUGUUAAUGGAUCAAUAUCCCCAAAUAUUUGAUCUAACAUGUUGCAUUCUUGUAUAUUGAGCACUUUCAAUUGAGCUAAGCCUUUUAAAACACUGGUCGAGAAUAUAUCUUUUAAUUCUCUACAUCUAUUUACCUCUACUUCCUGAAGAUUUUGGAAGAUUUGUACAGGAUGCCCAAUGGUGAAUUCACAUUGAUUUUUCUCUCUUUUCUCAUCAUCUGCUAAUAUAUGUUUCAGUCCAUCACAUUCUGAUAUUUUUAAUAUUUUCAAUUGUACCAAACAUCGAGCAACGACAUACGUGAAGAGAGAUGUCAACCGUGGACAAUCACUUAAAUACAACUCCUCUAAGUUCUCAAAAGGCCCAUUGGCAGGUUGAAAACAAUGCCAUAAAGCUCUUAGACUUUUCAUGUUAUUCAUUCUGAGCGUAUGCAACUUUGAGAAGAAAGUUACCACCUCACUCAAAUGGUUACUAGUUUCAAUCAAGCACUCUAUCUCUUCAGAAUCCUGUAUCUCAAACUUAUUCAGUUCAUCCAAACCUCCUCCUUCAAUUUGAAAUAUAUCAGGGAUGAUAUUUUUUGCGCCUCCCUGAAUAUUUGCUACAACUAGAUCUGUUGCUUUUUUUGCCAAACCCUUAAUUACCUCAUUUGAUAUGUCAAAAUGGUUAAGUAAUAGAGUUCUGGAAGGAGGGUGAAGAUAAUUAUAAUUAUAAUAAAAGUCAUUGUAUCCCAAUACAAUUGCAUACCUUUGCAAUGUUUGGGGGACACUAAACGUGUUAAAGAAUUCAAUAUUGUCUUCACUGUUAGCUUUCCAUUUUUCUUCAACAAUGUACAACUCUUCUAGUCGUGGGGUUCUUUUUAUCACUUCAAAAUUCUUCCCUUUCAUUUUACAUCUGUAGAACUGUAACAAUUUUAAGGUUGUUAUUUGUGUAAUUGCAACAUUGGUUUGUAAUUCAGGAAAUGAAGGCAAUGAACAAUCAUUCAUCGAAAGACUUUGAAGUUUUUUCAUAUUGUUUACAAAUGAGAAGUCGCUCAAUUCAUAGCCAGAAAUAACUAGAUAACGAAGAUUCGUUAAUGUUUUUAAAGACAUUGUGGACAAUGGUGUUAUUCCAACAUUAUCAUUGGCUAGAAUUAAAACUUUGAGAAUUUCCAUUCUUUUGAAGAUUCCAUCAAAUUCUUCCAAUUUUGUCUUUAAGAAUAAAAACUCAAGAUUUGAACAAUCCAAAUCAUUUGGAAAUUUUACACACCAUAGACAUCUUAUUGAAUUUUGUUCAAUAGUCACAUCUUUUUCCACUUCGCACUUGAUGAUCUUAUUCUCAUUCUUUGCUAUCAGGUGGGCCACAUCGCGAACUAAGUCAUGCAUUUUUACACAUUCAUUCUUUUCAUCCAACAAUAAACAAGAACUAACGAGCUUAAUUUUGGUUGCAACCACUUCACUCCUUGCCUCCUCAUAAGAGUGUGCUUCUCCAACUACACCUAAUCCUAUAGCAUAUCUUGUUAAAGAUUCAAUUGGAAUUUCAUAAUCUUCAGGGAACACAGAACACAAUAGGAAAAGUGAUUUAGCUUCUUUAGUAUCCAAAUUAUCAUAGCUCAGCUGCAAGCACUUGUAGGGAUCAAUCAAACCUCUUUCAAUAUUUACUGGCUUAGAACUUCUCAAUUUAUUCAAUGUAACACUCCAUAUCGUCUCAGCUUUUCCCUUCAAACUACUGGCAACAGCUGCAACGGCAACAGGCAAUCCUUUACACUCAUUGGAAAUUAAUUUACCCAUAUGCUUUAAGGUAUCAAGGGUGUCUUCAGAUAUAAGGGCUUUAUUUUGAAAAAGAGUCCACGCUUCUUCAUCCGUUAAAAUUGGCAGGUAAAUCAUUCUUUGACAAUCCAUUGAAGUACAAACUUCUUCUGAUCUAGUGGUAAUGAGAAUCUUGCAACCUUUAUGGUGUUCAGAGGAGGGAAUUCCAAUGCCACCAUAGUCAAGUUUCUCCCACACAUCAUCUAGAAUUACAAGAAUGUUUUUCUCCUGGUUUAAUCUCAAGCACAAUCGUUGGGCCCUCUCCAUUACUUCAGUUUCUGGAAAUGUAUACUGCAAUGAACUUGCAAUUUUUUCUUGAAUCCUUUGAACUUCCACUGUACUAGAAAUAGGCACAAAAAGAACUUUUUCAAAACAAUGUUCUGCUUCUACUAACUUCUUAACCUCCAUUGCUAAUGUGGUUUUACCACAACCCCCCAUCCCAUACAAUCCAAUCAUGGAAACAUCAUUAUUUUUCACUGCUUCCAGUAGUUGCUCAUAUGCAGAUUGUCUACUCUCAAAAUUCAUGGAUUUUUCUAAGAGAAUAUCAAGGGUGCCUGAAGGAAGUGUAGCAAUGCGGUCAAAUGGCACAUAAUGUCUACCCUUUUCGAUGAACUUUUCAAGGUCCACUGUUUUAUUUGCUAACUUUUUUCCUACACGGUAUCGCCAAAUCAAAUUUGGACAAUGCCCAAAGCAACAGAUUUUUUUGGCUUUUGCCUCUUUCAACAACUGAUUCACAUUGUCUGCAUCAUUGAUAGCAUCUUGCAGCCACUUGUCAACAACUUCACUGGUCUUUCUUGUUUGUUUCUUUGCAUUUGUAACAAAUUUUUGGACACUGUCUUUCGUUACAAUCAAAUCGCCCUCUUCUUCUUCAAGUUUUUUUACGAAAUUGUUAAAGCAACAAGGAUAACGUAAUUGAUUUAAUGUUCCACAUACUAAAUCUCUUGAAACAGAAGAUGCAAAACCCAAGAGGCACUCCAUCAAUUUGUUCCACCAAAUGCAACUUUCUUUUACUUGAACAAGAGAAGAUGAAUACUCCAUAGUUAGUUUUAUAAUUAUAUUUAGAUGUAUUAGAAAAUAAAAGAUUUUAAGAUCGCAUUACAUAUUGGAGUACGUCACUUUUAUAGUAAAAUUACAGAAAAGGUUAUGAUAUUAUGUUUAGUAAUUAGAUUUAAUGUUUCAUACCUUAUAUAAUAAUUAUUGGACAUAGAAAUAAAAAUAAAUCUAAUAACUUUAAUGAUUACUUUUAAAAGUUCAUGUGUGAUAAGAUUUUUAAAUUUCCUUUUCAUCACUUAGAAAAUUUUAUCAAAUAUAUUUAUUUUUAAAUAAUUUUGUUUCAAAAAAUUCUUAUCCUCCCUAAAAAAAAUUAUAUUUAAACAUGUGCUUAAAUGACACCCAAAUAGAUCAAAAGAUUUGUUAAGUAGAAAAAAAAAGUGUACGAGUAAAAAAUGUAUUUAACCAAAACUUAAAAUAUGCAUUAUAUAUAAAAUUAAUAUUAUAUAUAUUUUGUAAGUUUAAUUUUAUUAAUAUUUAUUUAAAUUUAUACAAGCUCUUAGAUAUAGCACUUUUUGAUAAAUUUGCAAAUAGGAGAAUAACAAAUGUUGGUAAUUUCUAAAUCAGAAUAUUUUUCCAAGAUUCUUGGAGUAGAAUAACAUAUAAAACGAUACAAGGUUCAAGAAAAAGUCAUCAAUUUUCAGAGUUUGAUAGAGGUGUUCGUAAAGCAGAGAAUUAGAGUUUUCUUAGUGUUUUAUUUUCUUCAUUAUAAUCCUUUAAAUUUGUCUCCAUAUGGAAGGUUAAACCCCUUAGGAUUCAUUUUCUUGUGUUUUUGCAAUAAAUUGAGGUUUAUGUUCUAUAAAAUUGUAUUCUUAAAUUCUCUAUAGCAAAUUGUGUUUUAUUGUUAGUCUUUUUGGAAUGUGGUUUUUGUCAAAAUAUUUGUUUUUUAACGCUUAUUGAGAAUUUAGCUAAUUUCUUUAAUUUGAUUCGCUUAGUCUUAAUCAAUGUCUUGUUUGCUUAAUUGAAGAGGUAGAAGAUAAACAUCUAACAAGUAGACAUUGAAACUUGUGAGAUACUGAAUACAUCAGUGGACACUUGUUUUGGUGAUAUUUAAUUAAUUACCAAGUUUUGGAUAUCAAUUUUAGAAUCUAAAAUAGUUGGUGGCUAAAACCUUGGUAGCUAAUUAAAUAUUAAUUUAAAAACUAAUUUAUAAAUUUAGAAACUACUUUAACUACCAAUAAUUCUUUUAAUUUCUAAAAUAUUACUUAAUUUAUUCAAUAUAGUGACUAAUUAUUUUUUGUUUCUAAAAAUAAUUUCUAAAAUUAGUCUAUUUAAUAAUUUUCUUGUAGUGCAUAUUAUGAUUAAUAUAAAAUGACAUGUGAUUUUUAUUUUUUUUAAUUAAAUAAUGUGUUGGAUAACAAAGGACUAUCAUUGUCACUUACAUCAAUGACAAUGACGACAAUUCCUUGAUCGUUGUAGAUGUUGACGUGAAAGUAAUAGGUAAGUAUGACAAUCUUGUUAUCCAACACAUUUUUAAUAAAAGCAAUAAGAAUCACUUCUGAUACAUUAACAAUAAUAUCAUUUUGUAUGUACUAUACAACAUACAUUUUUAACAUGUGGAAACAAAUAAGAUGUCGAAUCAAAAUAAUAGUCAUGUCACUUUAUUAAUGAAAAAUAAACGACAAAAACUCAAUUAAAAAUAUAUUUUUUUAAUUAAAAGUAUCUAAAAAGAUACUUGAAAUUUAAUUAAGUCUAAAAUAAAUGAUUUUUUUUAGCUCAUUACAUAUACUUAGCUACAUUGAACUGAGUGAGUUAGACUAGGUACUUUAUGAGUUCUUCUCAAAUUAAACCAAGACUCGAGUGCUUUAAAAAUUCUACACAAACUUCUAUUGUUUUGAAAGCCUUACAUUAUCACUGUUUGUUAAAUCACACAUGCAAUUUCAUUAAAAACCGUUAAUAUAGGUAUAAUUCAAUUUCAUUAAAAACAAUUAAUAUAAGUAUAAUUUGUGAGAAUAUUAAGAAGUAUGAUUGUAUUUUACUCACCCAUUCAUUAUUCACAUCAUGAUGAUUGGAUGUGAUUUUUAAUAAAAAUUUCCAAUGUAAAAAGUGUUUGAAUGUUUUUUCCUACACUUUUAUACCUUCUUCGGGCAUCCGUAUUUACAAGUAAGGUCAAAAUAUCAUUUUAUCCUUAAAAAUAUACUUCUGAAUUUUACAAUUUGAAAGUGUUAUUUUUUCUAUGUUCGAAAUAAUUCAAAAGGUAUAAUGCUUUUCAGAUUUUACAAUUUAAAAUAUAUUUUUUUCUUUAAAAAAAUUUAUUCUGAAAUACAUAAUCCAAAAGUUUUCCUAAAUAUGAUAAUAGCUUUCCUAAAUAUGAUAAUAGCUUUCAGAUUGUACAAUUCAUAACAAUCUAUUACUAUAAUAUUCAGAUUGUCCAAUCCAAAAGAUAUUUUCAAAUCCGAAAAUACUUUUCAAAUUCUACAAUCUAAAUAUAAUUUUAAAAUAUAUUUUGGAUUGUACAAUUUAAAAUUAUCCUUACAAAAUAAAGUCCAAAAUACAUUAUAAUAAAGAGUAUUAUAGAUUUUAUAAUCCAAUAUAAUAAAAAAAAUAAACGAAUGGAAAAUUCUAAUAUGUACUCGUAAUGUUAGGGUUGGAAUUAAAAAAAAAAUAUGGAAAUUUAGGAGAAAGAAAAAACGUGUAGGGAAGAAACAUGUGUGUUCCCUAAUUGAUAAUGGAAUAUGAAAUAUAGAUCAUGAAUGUUUCUCGCUGCCGCAUUUUUAUUAAAUAUCAUUUUUAAAUGGGAAGAGAUAUAAAAACAGUGUAUUAUAAUAGUUAAAAUUAAUAUAAUAAAACUAAAAGUUGUAUUGUCUGAUGGAAAAAUACAUUAAUAUAUAAAAAAAAUAUUUAUAAAAUUUAAAAGAUAUUACGAUUACUUUAUUUUAACAGGAUUUAUAUAUGUACGAAAUAAAUAAGAGCAAAAAUAUCUUUAAAAAUAGUGUAAGAAAAAGUAUCCGUCUUAUAUAUUAUCAAUGGAAAUAUAGAGACCGAUGAACAAUAUUUUUUAUUACGUUAAAAAUAAAUAACCUUCUAAGAAUAAUUUUAAAAAUAUAUGAUAAUUAUUUUUAAGAAAAAUUAUUAUAUAAUUGUUUUUAGUAGAGAAACUAUAUACUUACUUAUUUACUAAAAAAAUUAUUUAAUUUAUUAAAAGAUAAAAUUAUCUAAUUAAAAAAUGACAAAAAAUAGUUAUAAAAAAUAUUUUCUGAUACAAAUUGUUAAUAAUAGUAAAUUAAUUAACCCUAAUAAUAAAAAAAAGUGAUAAUAAAUAAAUAAUGAAAAAAAUAAUAUUGAUAAUAUAAUAAAGAAUAAUAACAAUAAAAAAUUUACUUAUUUUUAUUUUAAUUUAAAUAAUUUAAAAAUAAUAAUUUCUACUCUUUUUAUUUUCUCAAUUAACACUGUUUUAUAUUUGUUCUCUCAUUUUUUUAUUUCAUUAAUUUAUUUUCCCCCUAUUUGGUUUCUCAAGGCAACUUGUAAGGCUGCAAAAUUCCUUCUGAUCAAGUGAAAAAAAUCAAAUUCUCAAAUCCAAUUUAUAUUUAUUUAAAUUUAUAUUAUUUUAAGUUUAUUUAAAUAGAUUUAUUUGAAAUCCAAUUUUUAUUUUUACAUUUUAACUUCAAUCUAUUUUAAUUGGCGUUGGAAGGAAUAUUGAAUAGUUUUUAAUUUUGAAAAUCUAAAAUCACGUAAGUCUAAAUCAUUUUAAGUUAUAAAAAACUAAGUUGAGCUAAACCCAAGUAAAAUAUUACUGGAUCGGACUCAUGUAAGAUCAGCCCAAGUUGAUCCGAGCUCAACAAUUGAGCUCAAUCCAUUCAGUUCUAGUUCAAUCAAGUUGUGUUGUGUCCAAAUCAAACGAAGCAUGAUUGGAUUAGGUUAGGUUAAUCCUAGAUAGAGUCGAUUUUGCCUAAGUCCAAGUCAACUAAGACUUUGGUAAGAUUAAAACGGACUAGUUAAGUCGAAACAAGUCAAGUUGCGUUUAUAUUCAAUCAAUACAUCGGAUCCAUAUUGAGUUGAAACCAUGUUUAACUAAAUUGAGUUAAUUCCACGAUAAGUCAAUUAGGUUGAUCUCACCUCAGAUUUAAGUAAAUUUAAUCUAAAGUUAAUCCAUUUCAAAAAUUAAUUAAAAAAAUUCAAAAUCAAUUUAAUUUAGUUAAAAUAGAUAUGUAUUUUAAUUUUGAAAAUUUUCCACGCAUGAUCCUCCGAACUUCUCAUCACACUUUUCCCUCCCAUCCAGCUAUUCCCAUUUUGAACUCUAUCGUCCAUGUGGUUGUUUAUACUGAGUUUUCACAAAUGUUUGAGUAUUUGUAAUAAAAGUUGUUUAUAAUAGUUAUUUAUAAAUAAAAUUAUUAUUUUAAUGUAACUUCUAUCCAUAUAAAUGGUUUAAAUUUAAAAAUAAUUAUUUAUAAAUUAAAGGGAGUUAUUAUUUUAGAAGAAAAAGAGAGUAGGUGAAGUAAAACAAAAGUGCAAAUAGAAGUCUUAAUUUAUGGGAAAAUAAGAAAGAUUCAGCUAAUACAAAUUGUUUUUUCAGAUCUCGCAUAAAAAACAGAGUAUCUAGUGUUUUGAUCCACAAGAUGAAGCAGAUAUAGUUGUCUGAACCUGUUCAUGGUUCAUAUCUAACUAAUUUGGAAGAAGAGGAAAGAUAUGAAAUAUUACCUUCUUUAACUAAUAUGUAGAGAGAGAUGAAAGAAAGAAGUGGUGAUCCAUCACUUCAAUACAAGAGAAGCUGAAACGUUACGUUUCUGCACAAACAUAAACACAAACACAUUAUCUACAACUUCAAUUGAAAAGGAAUCGAUUAGAAAUUGAAAACAAAGCAGAAGUUAACUUCACGCUGAUGCAUACCUCCACAGAGAUGAAAGUACUCCAUUGCUUGAUUCAUACAUGCACAGAGAUGAAAGGAAUCCAUUGGUUGAAUGAAGAACAGAGUAAAACAGAGAAUCCUGCAAGAGAUAAGAAUGAAAGCAGAGAAGUGAACCCAACCACACCUUUUGGCUAUCAGAGUCACAAUCGGUUUUACAAUUCAAGUAUUUGUGAAAAGAAUACAUGUGGAUUUGUUUUAUACAUGUAGUUUAAGUAAAAUUAUUUAAAAAUAAUUCUUCAAAAUAAAGACUCAGAUAAUACAAUUCAAAUAAAAUUUCGCACUAAAAUAUAAAUGUAAAUAAAUUUGCUCUUUCAAAAAAAAAUUUAAAAUAAAUUGCACACAAGUUCAAAAAAAUUAAUAUUUCUAAAAAUAAUUUUAAUUUCACAAGUCUAAAUAGAAAUAUUUAAAUAUAUAAAAUUAAAUUCUAAAUAAUUUUUCAGCGUUUAAUAUUUCUCUAGCAGAUACAAUAAUUAACGGGUAAGGGGUAUUUGUGGAUAAUAUGAUACCCUUAUCCUUAGAGUGAAUAAUUAAAAUAUCCAUACAUAUUAUUUAUGGAUAACUAUUAUUUGGAACGCAGUUUUUUCAACACUUUCUUUGAAAAAAUCUUUGAUGUUUGAGAAACUUUUACAAAAUCUUUGUGAAAGAAGAAAAAAAAAUGUAAACAUUCAUUAUAAGAAAAAAAAAAUAUUUAGAAGUUUGAUGUAAUGUUCAAAACUUUAAUUUGUUGUAAAUAUUUGAUUAAGUCCUAUAUUUUGUUUUUCAUGUAUACUACACCAAGUUUCCUUAACAAUUUUAUUAUGAUAAUCUUUUAACUUUUCUACCAAAGUAGAUACGAUGUACAUUAUCUUUUAUUACAUGUCUCGUGAAUUUAUGGUUGAUGGUAAAUAAUUGAAAUCUUUAUUAAUUUUAUUGAGGUACAUUGUCCAAGUUCUGUGAAAAUAAUAUUAUGCCAAAAAAUAAACAGAAAAUUUUCUUACUCUUGACUAUUUAAAAUAAGUGGGAAAUUUUUAAUAAGUUACACUUGUUAUCAAUCUUGUUUUUCAGAUUUUUUUCAUAAUUUUUUAUUUAAUCUUUGCUGGGUUUAUUAUUGUAGAGCAUAAAGAUAAUUUUGGUUGCAUAUGGCUAAGACAGUGAAAUGUUGAAUAUAAGUGAUUGCUGCAUUAGAAGAAAGAGGAAUGCCAAAUGGGCUAAUGUAACACUCAAUGCAACUCCUUUUUCUUUUUUCUCAAACAUAAUAUUGUUGGAAUCAUAUCCACAGAGAAACAUGGUGAACUCAUUAAGACAUACAUAAAAUAAAUAUAAGGUAUUACAAAAUGACAAUGGCACUCAUUGAAGGAAGGAACAUAAAAGAAAUGGUUUUUGUAGUUUUGUCUCACCAAGACCAACCUCUUACACAACAAUAAAUAAGAUAGCAAACAUACAACAAAAUAGAACAAGCAAAAGACAGAACAAUAUUCUAUAGUUGCAAGUCUUCCUUUUGAGUGAUGAACAAUUCGGUCUUUAAUAACAGUGAACAAUGAAAAUUCUCAUGAGAGAUUUCUAGCAGCCAUGCGAUUAUACUCAUAUUGACUACAGAGAAAUGACCAUUUAUAAGUCACCUCAAAUAACUUUUGUUGAACUUUUCUUUCAUCUUCCACCAUUUGAGACCGGUCUUUCCUCACAUUUUCAAGCUCCAUUUUAUACCCAAUAGUUUCUACAAUCCUUUUAUUUUUCCUCUUCCAGAGAUGAUAAGGCAUCCUCACAAACUUUUAUUUCUUCCUUCAACCUAAUGAUUUGUUCCUUCAAAACUACUUCCUUCAGUUGAGCUUCAUCAUAGAAAUUCCUUGCCUCGGAAAUUUUGGAACCAAGAGUAGUGGCCACCUCAUUCCCACGAGCUUCAAGUUCUGCUAACUUGUCAGUGGUAGCAAAGCCUUGCUUAAAGGAGUGUACAAUGCUUGGGAACUCUUGCUGCAUAGUGCCUAUAAUAUCUUUGAGUCCAUCUGAUAGAGUUACAUCUUUGAAAGGAAGGUUGGACAGGAAAUUAAGAGCAGACAAAAGGCUAAUGCUGUUAGUCUCAGAGCUAACUAUGUCCUUCAAAGACAUCUUUAUAUACUUUUCCAACUCAAGAAGGGUCUUUCCAACUAUGUUGUCUUCACCCUCUUUCCCCACAAUAACAGAUGCAUAUAAACUCAUGAUAUCACUGGUCCCAAAGUCUUGAAUAAUUUUAGAAUGGCCUCCACUUUCUUUAGUAGUGUGUGUCUCGGUUUGGCUGCUCCUAAUUUCACUCUUGGAGGAAUAAGAAGAAAAUAUAACAAAAAAGACGUUAGCAUCAAGCCACAACAGUUGUAAAGCAUUGAGUUCCUUAAACCAUUUUUUAUCAAAUCCUAUUUGUGAGAGUGAUGGUAACAAAUUCAUUAAAUUUAAAUUCCAACUUGAAAUUCAGUACCUUUUGUUUUUUAAUUCCACUCUUGCAGCAAAUGAUAAAUUAGAAUGGCAACAUCAUUUUUUAUGCUGACCAAAUAUGUUGGAAAUGUGAAUUGCAUAAAAUAAACUUACAUGUGGAUGUGAUUUAGUUUGCAAAGUAAAUAUUUGGUCCAACUGUGAGCUAGUGGAUUCGGAAUGAAUUGAAGAAGCUGCCAUACCGGUGUUCUUUGCUAUGGUUUCAUCAACAGCAACUCGCUCAAUAAUACUCUGCACAAGAACAAGAAAUAUGUAGUUUUGGUGUAUGCCGUUUUAUUUUCAAAAUGACAAGAUGUGUGUCAAUAAAAUGCCUCGGUUUUAUUUUGUUCGUCAUUUACCUGAGGAAUUUUGGGGCUACUUACAAUUUCUCCUAGUGGCUUUUGUUGGUUCAUCAAACACGGUUCACUAAUCCGUUGUUUGUCCACCAAUGCCUAAAGAAAGUAAUGAAUAGGUGUAAAAUCAUUGUAGACUCAAUACUAUUUUUUCAUCCAAUACUCGAAAAAAUAUUUUUAGACUCACAUUUGAGUGUGUUUCAUGUAGAGGUUUAUUCAAAUAACUUGAACUUGGCCUUUCAACUAGUUGCAAGUUUGUUAAUGAUGUUGUCGUUCUUGGUAUUUCUGAAGUGGAAACUUUUGCAACAAAUUCCUUCUCUGGUUCUUCAUUUCUUGCAGUCACAAUGCGGUCAUUGGAAACAACAGCUAUUUGACCUUCUUUGUCAACCAAGUUAAAACCUUCUUUGAAGUUACUAUUAACAUUAUGAGUCUUCACACUUGGAGAAGUUCUUUUGCAAUUUUCAUUAGGCCCAUCACCAUGUUCAACAGCCUUGGAGUCUAGUACCAUCUCCACACUACUAUACCUGUGUAAUAAACUUAAAUUUUAUGCUCUAUGCAUCCCAAAGAACAGAAAACUAAGAAACAUAUGGUAUCAAUCUUGUAAGAAUUGCAGAUACAACCACAAUGUAUAUAUAAACAGAAAUAGGAAAUCCACACAACCACAACAUAGAGAUAUAACUUCAAAUUCACAAAACACUAAUACAUUUUAUCUCCACAUUAACAAAGUCAUUUAAGACUCUUAAUUUCAUUCAUUCUUUACAUUAAGUAGUCAAGAAGUUAAAUGAUCAUACCUCUUAGGAUUCUCAUCCAUUUGUCUCUCUGCAAUGUCCUCUCUCAGCUUAGGAUUCCUCGUCAAAACAUGUUGACGCAUUUCAUCUACCCAUGAACUCUCAAAUCCAAUCUCAAUAGCUUCUUCGCAUAGUUUAUGAAACUCUUUUUCUCUUUGAGGAGUAACAUUAUCAACACUUUCCUUCUGAAUGAACAACAACAUAUCUGCCAAAAUUUUCAACCUCCAAGCUUGAAAGCGCUCACUAAACUUCUUGCAAGCAUUCCAAAGAUGAGGAUAUGUUGUUAUCGCCUCCACCAGAAGAUCAAUUUGUGCACCAUCCAAAUCAACAAAAUGUUUAUAUGUUCCCAAUUUUGUACGGAUAUCUGCAGAAGCUAUAAAAAGUUUGAAAAGUGAUAUGAAAAUAUAGGAUUGAAACAAGAAAAUAAGAAAUAAAAAACCUGGAGAAAUGUCAAUAUUGUUGUUAGAAAUAAUAUGUAUCUCCUCUUGUUUGUCCAAUAGGUUCAACCCUUCUUCUACUUGGAUUUCUUGGCUUGGCAUGAUUCCUCCCUUUCCUUCAUUCAUCUUAUCAUCUUGUUCAACAACCUUGGAAUGUUGUGCAAGUAUGUCCACACCACCAGACUCAAUGUGAGUUCCAACACCACCUCCAAUGCUAAUGUCUUCAACCCCAGUUGUUAAAGGUUUUGUCUUAUCACCCUCUGCUGAAGGCCCCUCUUCAAUGCUCUCAAUUCCUAUGUUUCCAAUCUCCUUUGUAUCACAAAUUAAGAAAAUACAAUUGAGUGAGAGUUUAUAAAGUUUGAAAGGACCACUAUUUUUAAUGUAUAUCAUGUGGUGGUAUGAGAGUAGUUUGAUAAUUUUUAAUGGUUUUGUUACUAUUGCUUCUUCAAGUGCAUGUUUGUCUUAAUAUCACCAAAUUCAUUUUAGGUUUAGUAAUUAUUGCACCUACAUGCUAAGGUAUUUUAUGCAGAGAAGUUUCCAUACAAAUUAGAGGUGAGUUUCUAAAUUCUAAAAGAGUAGUUGGUAUUGCUAGUCUCUCAUUGAUGUUAGAACUAUUUCAAUAAAUAUUGUCAGUUUCAAGAAUACACUUUACAAUGCUCAAGCUAAGUUUUGUAAGGUAACUCUCAUUGUGACUAUACUUAUUUCUUCUUCAUAUUUAGUUUUUAAUUUCAAGUUCAUUCCUAAUUAGUUGACAUAUGAUGAUAUUAUCUAAUGCAGUUCCUUCUUCGACACCACUCAAUAUUCUGCAAUCUGCAUAUAAGUCCAGAAGAUGUGAAACUUGGUAUCUGCAUAAUGUCAACCGAACACUAAAAAAAAAAAGCUUACAAAAAAUAAAUAGUUACUAUAUUAACUAGAUAUACUAUCUUAUAAACUAAAAAAUUAGUAGUAUCUAAAGUUAUUUAUAUUAUUAAUAAAAUUUAUAAAUUAGUUUCUAUAUUGGUAUCUAAUUAGCUAAAACCUUCGUAGCUAAUUAGAUAUCAAUAUAAACACUAAUUUAUAAAUUUAUUAAUAAUAUAAUCAACUUUAGAUACUAAUAAUUUUUUUAGUCUCUAAUAUAAUAUAUAAUUUAAUUAACAUAGUAACUAAUUAUUUUUAUCUUUAAAACUAGUUUUUAUUUAAUAAUUUUCUUGUAGUGAAAAGUAAUGAUUGUCUCUCAAAACAUAGGGUAUUAUUUUACGAAGUUUUAAUUUAAUUUUUUAAAUUUCAUUGUGUCACAUAUCUUUUUAAAACUUUUCUCAAUUUUUAUUCUAAUACCAAGAUCUUACAAAAUUCACACACUACUGGUAAGUCAAUAAAUACUAGUAUUAAAAGACAAAAAAUAAUUAAUUAUGUACUAUCUUAAAAAUUAAAAACAUUAUUUGUAUCAAGAUUACUUUUUAUUAAUAUUAAUAAAAUUUAUAAACUAGUUUUUAAAUAUCAAAUUAGAAACUAGUUUAUAAAUUUGAUUAACAGUAAAAACUACUUUAAAUACCAAUAACUCUUUUAAUUUCUAAAACAAAAUAUAAUUUAGCCAAUAUAAUAAUUAAUUAUUUUUUAUUUUAAAAUUAAUUUUUUGUUAAUAAUUUUCUUGUAGUGUAUUUUAUUUCAUUGCUAGCAAAAAUAUAUAUUUUUAAGAUAACAAAAUAAUUUUUUACUUUUAUGAUUCAGGUACUUAUUUAAAAUCUCAAAUCUUAUUUUUCUAUCACGUAAGUUUAAAUUAAAAAAAUCCUAAUAAUGAGAGAAAAAGGUUAUUAAACUUUUUUUUAAUUGUAUUUAGAUUCAUAGAUUGGUUGGUUCUGACCUGUGAUGAAGUCAACUCACUCCUACAACUAAUUCUAUAAUCUUCAUCUAAACUGUCCAUCAAGGGACAUAUCUCCCAAAACGAAAGUUCAGUCCUUUUGAAAUCUGUAACAAAAAAUACAUAAAAAAGAAAUGCAACCUCAGCUUUUCAUGAUGAAUAAUUAUAUAAUUACAAUUAAAUAUAAAAAAUGAUUUAAAAAGUUUCAUUAUAGCAAUUUUUUUUUAUCACCCACCAAAACAAAGGAUCGAUUGUUUUCUUUAACCGUUCUUCCUAAUUACAAUUACUAGAGCUUAAAAUUAAAAAAAUUCAGCAAAUAAUAAUUUACUGUGUUUAUUUUAAAAAAUUUAGUAAAUACUUAGUUGGAAAUUUGAAACAGUCCUAUCUGAAUGAAAUAGUUAAUUUGAAAAGAAAUAUAGUAUUUACCUUUAUAAGGAAAAGUUUUCUUGAGCUUCUCCAAAGUAGUUGUUGGAGUCAAAGAUAGUUUUGGACAUUCGUAGACAACACAAUUCUUUAAAUUGGGCAAUUCAAUCUCUUGGUUGAAGUUUGAAAGAUGCGUAAAUAUUAAAACUUUGAUUCUUGGAAGUUCAAUUUUUGUCUUUCCUAUCUCAUCACUUUUUCCUUGUCCACGUCCAACAAACUCUUCUAGUUCAGAGGCUCCACUUAUGAUUAAAAGAUAAAGAUUAGGAAAGUCAUUAGAUGCAGAUCCAGAGAUAAAUCUUUUGAGUUUGUGGCAAUGUCCAACAUACAAUGCUUCUAGUUUUGGGAAGAAUGCCUGAGGAGAAAGAAGAUUAGACAAUUUGUUAUCCUCCACAUCCUCUUCAAUGAUUACUCUUAAUUCUUUGCAUUUUCUUAUCUUCACAAUACUCAACAUUGGUAGGCAUCUUAAAUCAUACUUUGAAAAGAUUACUUCCAAUUUUGCACAUCCAAUAAAUUCUAAUUUUUGAAGAUUUGAGAAGAUAAGAGAAUUGUUUGGAGCUCCUUGUUCACAUCCAACAAUCUGCUUCAAUUCCAUGCAUUCUUUUAUUAUUAGCUCUUUCAACUCUGGUAAGCUUCUUAAAACAGAGGGAGGAAAUAUUACUUUCAAUUUUGCACAUCCUAUUAUUUUUAAUGUAGUAAGAUGUUGGAGAUUAACUGAAUUCUUGGAAGCCACCCAAAUAUAAGUCAUUUGAGGUAUAUUUUCCAAUUUCAAACGCUCUAACCUUAAGCUCACUUGUUGCCCAAUCAUUCCAUCUCCAUUAAGACAAAAAAUACCUUCUACUUCAGAAUUGGUUACAGAUAUAUUUUGCAAAGUGAGAAGAGGGUUAUGAACCCCUUUUGGAUCCUGCAGGACAUUCGUAGGAAAUGAAAAAACUCCAAAAAGAAAACAAAAAAGGAACAAAUAACUAAUAAUCAUAAAAAAAAGACAAGACUACCUUCUUACUUGCGUUGAUAGGUUCUCUUGAAUCUGCAGGAGCCGUCAAGCAAUUAAUAGAAUUAUAAAACGGAUAGGAACAUUUAUAACAAGUAAACUCCUUCAAAGAUGACCACGUCACGGUGAGAUUGUUGGUAGCACAAAUGCUAACAAAAUUUGGUAGAUUAUAAAGAGCGAGCAUUUCCAAUGCUGAGAAAUGAAUAUGAAUCUCCUCACAAUCCUGAUUAGCUACGCAAUAUUGGCCAAACAUAUAUUUCAAUUGCCCACAAUCAAUCACGAUGAGCUCUCUUAAGUUUGGGAAGAUUGCAUUCAAAUUCUCUUUGCCAUAUUCAUCCUCAGUGUCUAUAAUGUGCUCAAGUCCUUGACAUUGCUCGAUUCUCAAGAUUUCCAACAUCAAUAAUGAAGCAACGGACAAUUUAAAAAUGUACUUUACCUUAUCAAAGUCAUUCAUGUUAAUCUCUCUUAUGUUAUGCAUAAUAAGCAAGGUCAAACCAUGUGGUGGUUUUGAAAUAUAUUGAACAUUUUCAAGAGAGGAAAUAGAAUCUGAGUUCGAUAUCUGCAAUACAUACACCAAGUUACUUGUUAAACCAAACUAAUUAGUGUCUUAACUUUAAUUAUUAAUGUAUUUCAUUUCUAACAAAUAAUUGUUUAUGAAAAUAAAUUAUUUUUGUUUAGCACAACAAGAAAAAGUUGAAAAGAGAAUAAUUUCACAAAAGUAAUCUAUUCCAAAUAAUUUAUGUCAAUACUUAGAUAUUAAAAAUUCAUGUGGUAUAGUGCUUGUAAGACCAAGUUUUAUUUUUAGCACAAACAUGAUCGCGCAAUUCAAAUGUUUUGAGUAAUUUUUCUAAAUACAAGAAGAGAGAGACAAAGUAAGUGAUGAUAAUCAUACCUUGAUUGCAAUAUAAUCCUCUUUUCUAGCUUUUGAAGCAUAUGUUGAACAAUUUAUAGUGAAAAACUCAACACAUCUUCCAGUAAUCAAUGAUAGUUUUCCUAAAGAUGGACAUCUUACAUGAUAAUUUCCUAGAAGAGAGUUAUCCAUGAUACGAACAAGUUCGAGUAUUUCUAAAGCAGGAAGCUCAAUUUGAUUAUUAUUUUGUUGUUGCUCACAAAAAUUGUCUUCGAAAUUAUUUUGACUUGAAAGAUCUUUCAAAUUAGAAGCCUCUUUAUUUCCUAUAUCCAUGCCUCCAACAAAAGAGAUAGGGAACAUACAUUGCAACAAGUCACAUUCCCUGAUAUAUAGCGUUUUCAAACUCUGGAAGUUUGAAAUAUCACUCUGAAAGUCAUGGUCAUCCUCGACAAUGUUUUCCUUCUGUUGAUUGAUCCUUUCAUGAGUUACUAUAUGCUUCAAACUAUUGCACCUUUUUAUGAUCAACACUUCCAAAAAAGUCAAGGUCUUAGCUAUAGAUGCUGUAAAAAUUGAGCCUAACUUCGGACAAUCGAUUAUCGUAAGGCUUGCAAGGCUUGAUAAAGUUCCUGGAAAGCAAUUAUAAAUGAGAAAAAUAUCGCUCAACAUAUUAGAGUUCAAUAUAUAUAUAUAUAUAUAUAUAUAUAUAUUAUUUGUGUAAGUUACAUUCUGAUUUUAAAAACAAACGAUCGAUUAAUAAUGAUGAAAAGAAUCAUACAAAACAAUUUUCUUUAAAUAAUUAUAAAUUAUCUAAAAUGUUUUAAAUGCAAAUAUAAUUGUCUUUAAUUUUGAGUAGAGACAAAUUUUGCUCCUAAUGUAUUAACAAGUAGUUGGUUUAAGUAAAACUAGAUUAGUAGUGUCUAAUUUGAACCGCGUGAAUGAAAAAUAACAAAUUAGCAGUUUUCAUCUAACUUGUAAAUAACAUCAACUAAGCAAUAACAUGUAGACUUCUUAAUAUGUACGUGGGCUAUGGUUCAAAAUUGUUGUUAAUGGAGUUGAAGUGCUAUACAAAUGUGGAUGCUUACCUUCCUCAACGAUUUCAACAAGUUCUUCUUUUUUAUCCUGGUAUGUUAAUGGAUCAAUAUCCCCAAAUAUUUGAUCUAACAUGUUGCAUUCUUCUAUCUUGAGCACUUUCAAUUGAGCUAAGCCUCUUAAAACACUGGUCGAGAAUAUAUCUUUUAAUUCUCUACAUCUAUUUACCUCUACUUCCUGAAGAUUUUGGAAGAUUUGUACAGGAUGUCCAGUGGUGAAUUCACCUUGACUUUUCUCCGUUUUCUCAUCAUCUACUAAUAUAUGCUUCAAUCCAUCACAUCUUGUUAUAUUUAAGAUUUUCAAUUGUACCAAAUGUUGAGCAACGACAUAUGUGAAGAGAGAUGUCAACCGUGGACAACCACUUAAAUACAACAUCUUUAAGUUCUCAAAAGGCCCAUUGGCAGGUUGAAAACAAUGCCAUAAAGCUCUUAAAUUUUUCAUGUUUUUCAUUCUGAUCUUAUACAACUUGGAAAAGAGAGUUACCACCUUACUCGAAUGGUUACUUGUGUCAAUCAAACACUCUAUCUCUUCAGAAUUACGUAUAUCAAACUUAAUGAGCUCAUCCAAACCUCCUCCUUCAAUUUGAUAUAUAUCUGGGAUGAUAUUUUUUGCGUCUCCCUUAAUGUUGGCUAUAAAUAGAUCAUUUGCUCUUUUUGCCAAACUCUUAACUACCUCAUUUGAUAUGUCAAAAUAGUCAAGUAAUAAAGUAUUGUGAUGAGAGCUAAAUUCUUUAUAAAUACAAUUAUCAAAAUUACGGGAUCCUAAUACAAUUGCAUACCUUUGCAGUGUUUGGGGAACACUAAACAUGUUAAAGAAUUCAAUAUUGUCUUCAUUGUUAGCAUCCCAUUCUCCUUCAAUAUCGACAAUGUACAACUCUUCUAGUAGAUGGGUUCUUUUUAUCACUUCAAACUUCUUCCCUUUUAUGUAACAUUUGUACAACUCUAACAAUUUUAAGGUUGCAACAUUGGUUUGUAAUUCAGGAAAUGAAGGCAAUGCACAACCACGCAGUGAAAGACUUUGAAGUUUCUUCAUAUCGCUUACAAAUGAGAAGUCACUCAAUUCAUAAUGAGAAAUAACUAGACAACGAAGAUUUGUUAAUGUUUUUAAAGACAUUGUUGACAAUGGUGUUUUUCCAUCCUUAUCAUUGACUAGCAUCAAAACUUUGAGCCUUCCCAUUCUUUUGAAAAUUCCAUCCAAUUCUUCUAGUUUUGUCUUUAAGAAUAAAAACUCAAGAAUGGAACAAUCCAAAUCAUUUGGAAAUUUCUCACACCAUAGAUAUCUUACUGAAUUUUGUUCGACAAUCACAUCUUUUUUCACUUCGCACUUGAUGAUAUUGUUCUCAUUCUUUGCUAUCAAGUGGGCCACAUCGCGAACUAUGUCAUGCAUUUUGACAUAUUCACCCUCUUCAUUCUUUUUAUCCAAC
RNAcentral lists this long non-coding RNA (31300 nucleotides) under Phaseolus vulgaris (common bean). RNAcentral describes it as "long non-coding RNA (PVUL_LNC003738)". The record is from RNAcentral. Lineage: Eukaryota; Viridiplantae; Streptophyta; Magnoliopsida; Fabales; Fabaceae.